CCGGAGAGAGGACAGGCCGGGGCCCCUGCACCGCCAGGCUCAUGGCACACAGCCUCCGGAGGCGCAGCAUGCCGGCAGAGACAGCUCGCUCCACCGCAAGUCCGGCCCGAGUAAACUUUUAAAGAUCAGAAUCACAAUAAAAUGGGCCUCACGUACAUUAUCAAGUUUAACAUCUGAAGGCCCCAGCGAAAUCAGACCACCAAAAAUUCUGAAGCUGGAGCUUUGCUCUGGGACUCGGGGCUGGAAUGCCGUUCCAGGGGGUGCACAACUUGAGAUAUUCCAAGGCCCCAGGUGUGCCUUUGGUUCAUUGGAUUGCUGGAGUGAACUGCUGCACUAAAACAAUUAGCAAGCAUUCAGGGGAGGAGGCCUCCAUAGGUAAGUGGCGCCCUUAUAACAUCUGGUAUUGGGUUAAGAGAGAGGUGCCUGAUGAGGCACAUACACUCCUGUCUAGGACAGUAAUGAAAUAUCGCU
Molecule: long non-coding RNA, 471 nt
Organism: Marmota flaviventris (yellow-bellied marmot)
Lineage: Eukaryota; Metazoa; Chordata; Mammalia; Rodentia; Sciuridae
Source: RefSeq, a predicted model, not a curated record